CCUACGGGUGGCAGCAGUGAGGAAUAUUGGUCAAUGGCGGGAGCCUGAACCAGCCAAGUCGCGUGAGGGACGACCGUCCUAUGGAUUGUAAACCUCUUUUGUCGGGGAACAAAGGCGCCCACGGGUGGGCGGAUGAGUGUACCCUAAGAAAAAGCAUCGGCUAACUCCGUGCCAGCAGCCGCGGUUAUACGGGGGAAGCGAGCGUUUUCCGGAUUUUUUUGGUUUAAAGGGUGCGUAGGCGGACAGUCAAGUCAGCGGUAAAAAUGCGGGGCUAAACGGCGUACAGCCGUUGAAACUGGCAGUCUUGAGUGGGCGAGAAGUAGGCGGAAUGCGUGGUGUAGCGGUGAAAUGCAUAGAUAUCACGCAGAACUCCGAUUGCGAAGGCAGCAUACCGGCGCCCGACUGACGCUGAGGCCCGAAGGCGUGGGGAGCAAACAGGAUUAGAUACCCGGGUAGUC
This 458-nucleotide ribosomal RNA is filed under the name uncultured bacterium. Its description in RNAcentral is "partial 16S ribosomal RNA". It matches the Rfam family "Bacterial small subunit ribosomal RNA", at positions 338 to 795 of the family's 1533-position model. The record is from RNAcentral.